GUGCUCGCUUCGGCAGCACAUAUGUAAAAUUGGAACGAUACAGACAAAGAUUAGCGUGGCCCCUGUGCAAGGAUGACAUGCAAAUUUGUGAAGUGUUCUAUAUUAAA
This is a small nuclear RNA of Lepus europaeus (European hare), 107 nucleotides long. Lineage: Eukaryota; Metazoa; Chordata; Mammalia; Lagomorpha; Leporidae. The record is from RefSeq and is a predicted model, not a curated record.